Molecule: ribosomal RNA, 433 nt
Filed under: uncultured bacterium
Lineage: Bacteria
Description: partial 16S ribosomal RNA
Rfam family: Bacterial small subunit ribosomal RNA
Source: RNAcentral
AGCGAACGCUGGCGGCAGGCUUAACACAUGCAAGUCGAACGGGCACUUCGGUGCUAGUGGCAGACGGGUGAGUAACACGUGGGAACGUACCUUUCGGUUCGGAAUAAUACAGGGAAACUUGUACUAAUACCGGAUACGCCCUUUGGGGGAAAGAUUUAUCGCCGAUUGAUCGGCCCGCGUCUGAUUAGCUAGUUGGUGAGGUAAUGGCUCACCAAGGCGACGAUCAGUAGCUGGUCUGAGAGGAUGAUCAGCCACACUGGGACCGAGACACGGCCCAGACUCCUACGGGAGGCAGCAGUGGGGAAUAUUGGACAAUGGGCGCAAGCCUGAUCCAGCCAUGCCGCGUGAGUGAUGAAGGCCUUAGGGUUGUAAAGCUCUUUUGUCCGGGAAGAUAAUGACUGUACCGGAAGAAUAAGCCCCGGCUAACUUCGUG